Long non-coding RNA from Cornus florida, 1346 nucleotides. RefSeq lists it as uncharacterized. The record is from RefSeq and is a predicted model, not a curated record. Lineage: Eukaryota; Viridiplantae; Streptophyta; Magnoliopsida; Cornales; Cornaceae. The transcript is spliced from 5 exons.
GCUGAUAUUUUGAAUGCUUGCCCAGUCCAAAAAAAAUAAAAUAAAAUAAAUAUAUAUUCAGUAGAGCGAGGGCGAGCGACUAGAUUAGGAAUGGCUAUGCCACGAUUCCCUCAAGCUGUAUCGAAUGAAAACUCAGAGAUAAAUCCACACACCCAUACAAAAAAAACACACACAGUGCUGGUCAGAUUAAAACCCUAACCGGUGAAAAUGUUUUUCCCUCUUUCCAUCAAGCCUCUUUCAGUUGGCCGUCAGAGUAAACCCUAACCCAUAAAGAAGAAACCCUAAAUCUGGAAUCCUCCAUUAGAGACGCGAAGGUGUGUUCGGUGAUUUGCAGACGACCGCUGCUGCUAGGAUUGUUUCCAAUCUAUUUUUCUCUCUAUUUAUACACGUAUGUGUGUGUGUGUGUGUGUUCGCAAAACUUACUCGGUUGAUUAAAAUGGAUACAUAAAUUUUGAUUCUUAUUCUUCUCACCACUCAUCUAUGCGAUUUUGAUGUUAGAGUUGGGCUAGAGGAGUUCAAUUUUUGAAGAGGAUGCGUACGAACAGGAUGCUGAACCAAAUGACCGAAAAAUUAGGAAGCUUUGUGAUUAUGCUUUGAAAAAUCCAUUACGAAUACCAAAGAUUACUGAUUACCUAGAGCAGAGAUUUUAUAAGGAUUUGAGGAAUGAGCAUUUUGGCUCCGUAAAAGUUGUGCUUUGCAUUUAUAGGAAAUUGUUAUCAUCAUGUAACGAGCAGAUAAUGUGCUUCAUCUUCAUUUUGGUGAGCUUUAAAUCUUGUUUGGAAAGUUUGUUUCUCAGGUCAAAGCUAGGAUUGCGACUUGCAGUUGCCGUUACUUUUUUUGUUGCCGCUAUAUUUUUUGUAUGGCUCAUGAAGAAGUUGCAAGAAGAUAUGAAGAAUUUUUGUUUUAUUUUGGUAAAGUAAAUAUAUAAGAUGUGGAUCAUGUACUUUUUUGAAAUUUGUAUAUGGUUAAUUUUUGUAUAAAACAAUGAUUUGGAAUUGAUUAUAUAUAUAUAUCUAUGAUGUUAUUGGUCAGUUGUAAAUUAAUUUGGUUAUCAUGUUAUAUUUUAUUUAUUUAUGGUUUGCUUCUCAGGUGCAAGGCUAGUAGAAGGGAAACAAAAAAAAAAAAAAAAAGGCUUCGUAAGGGCUACACUAUUUUAAAAAAAAAUAAAUUAUAUAACACUUUCUACCACGGUUAUGCACCGUGGUAGAAAGUCUAUUUUUCUACCGCGGUUCCGCACCGUGAUAGAAAGUCGUUCAGAAAACACUACAAGAAAAUUGACUUUUUACUACGGUAGAAAAGGCUUUCUACCACGGUUUUGAACUAUAGUGAAAACGGCUGUGAUAAUA